Molecule: ribosomal RNA, 370 nt
Filed under: uncultured bacterium
Lineage: Bacteria
Description: bacterial SSU rRNA
Rfam family: Bacterial small subunit ribosomal RNA
Source: RNAcentral
CACGCCGUAAACGAUGUCUACUCGGAGUUUGGUGUCUUGAACACUGGGCUCUCAAGCUAACGCAUUAAGUAGACCGCCUGGGGAGUACGGCCGCAAGGUUAAAACUCAAAUGAAUUGACGGGGGCCCGCACAAGCGGUGGAGCAUGUGGUUUAAUUCGAUGCAACGCGAAGAACCUUACCUACUCUUGACAUCCACAGAACUUUCCAGAGAUGGAUUGGUGCCUUCGGGAACUGUGAGACAGGUGCUGCAUGGCUGUCGUCAGCUCGUGUUGUGAAAUGUUGGGUUAAGUCCCGCAACGAGCGCAACCCCUAUCCUUAUUUGCCAGCACGUAAUGGUGGGAACUCUAGGGAGACUGCCGGUGAUAAACCG